ACAAGAGGUUACAGAACCACUGCCACAGGAGACUGAUUCAGCACAGGAACUGGAGACAGCUGCAGCUCAGCUCAGACAGGUUGCUGCAGAACAGGAACAGAGGACUGCUGCAAGGCAGAGCAGGAGGCCGGCAGCUGGAGGUCUGGACGGGGAUCAGGAAAGACCGCCGGUCCGGCUCUGGAGCCAGUCUGCUGACCUGCAGACCAGGAAGCAGGAACAGGUGUCGACUGGGCCGCCGACUGAGGACCAGGAACUGGUGGACCUGCUGGUGGAGCUAGAUAACAAGUCAGAAUCAACAAAGUCAAUGAAUGAAGUUCAUCCUCUGGGGACCAAGAAUGCGUGUAGAAAAUGUCAUGUCAGUCUAUCCAUCCAUCCUUUGGUCCAGGUCCAAUCCAUGUGGACUAAAGUAGUGGAGCGACAGACAUUAGCAUCCACAGAGCAACACUGCUAGUGUGUCUAAAAAGACAAUAAAAGAAGAGACAGUCAUGUUGAUAUGAACAUUAGAGAAACACAUCAUGGAGCUGAAACAUGAUCCUGCUGCAUCAUUUGGACUCGUUCAUCUCAGCCGACACGUUCAACAGCACACAGGUUUUUGUAUUACUCUUUCUCACUGUGGGAAGAAAUGAUUACCUCGCCUUUCUCUCUGGAACUAAACUGUUUGUAACAGCUUCAAAAGAGCAGGUAGUGAAGCCCGUGGUGAGCGUGUACCCAGCAGCAUCCAGAGCCCACCUGGAGGGGAGGAGCUCCCUGCUGUGUGUGGCCUCAGCCAUGUUUCCUCCUCUGGUCAAGUUCUCUUGGAAAAGACGAAAGGAGGAUCAGGUGGAGUCGCUCCUUGGUGAGGAAGAGCAGCUGGAGCUCAGAGAGUCGGGACGCGCCGCCGCCAUCUUGCUGGUUGACAGGAACGCUACCUUCAUGUAUAAAUACCGCUGCUCCGUCCAGCACGAGGGGGGCACAGUGGAGGCCCAAACAGAACAAGGUAAUGAAGGCUUGGUGACUGUGUUCAGCAGUGAUUCAGCUUCAUGUGGAGACGCUGUCAAAGAGAGCAGAGGAGCAGAGGACUGACAUUUCUUUUGGCCUCUUUUCUGUUUCAGAGGUUCCAGCAGCUGCAGCAGCCUCCUGUCCUCCAGAGAGAGAGCCAGCAGACCUGCCAGCUCUGCAGCAAGCUGACUGUAAGAUCACCUGCUGCCUCUCUGCAUGGACAGCUCCAAUGUUCUGCUGCAGUUAGGGCUGCAGAUCAGUCUGUUCACUUUCUGCUCAUCAUUGAAGGAUUUAAACAGACACUCCCUGAUUCUGUUAGAGUGUCCAACAGCACAACUAAUCCCAAUGAGAGAGCUUUCACUCCACACUCUGACAAAUGACACGUUUUAGGGACACUAUACUACAUUUUGGUUUUUGAGGCUGCUAUAACAACUUUGGGGAUUUUAUCUUAAAGCUCCACUAUAAAUAUUUCUAUAUGAAGAAUAAAUCCAAUGACUGUGUGUGCAGUGAAAGGUGAAAUUAACACUGUGUGUGUGUGUGUGUGUGUGUGUGUGUGUGUGUGUCAGUGUCCUUCCAGUCUCAGUGCAGGGUGAAGCUGCUCUGUGUGCUCUACACAGUGCUGAUAGUGAAGAGUCUGGUGUACUGCUGUGGACUCUCUCUGCUGAGGAUCCUCUGAAACAAGGGACCGUCCACCAACUGCUCACAUGCUGACUGACUGUUUUCUGCUCGCCUUUUCUCACCAUCAAAUCUCAUCAGUUCGUCUCAUUGAUCACUUUGAUCAGCAGUCACAAAUGUCAAUGUUCAUGUUUUGUGGUUGGUUGUAAAAUGUAUCUUUUGAUGCACAGGUUAGAUUCAGUCAUCCUACAUAUAUAAAUACAUAUAUACACAUAUAUAUCUGCAGUGACUGAGUAUAAAUUCUGUGCUAUAGUGUUAUUUUCAUCCUCUAGUUUAUUUCCACUUUGAAUUGUGACUUGUAUAAUAAUAGAACAUGAAGCUGAAUCAUUAGCUGUCUGCUAGAUAUUUGAUUGUUUUAGUAUUUUUCUCUUCCUGUCUUUCUUUUUAAUACAUUAUGCAGAGUGUGGCAGCUUUGUUCAAUUCUUUCAGU
Sparus aurata (gilthead seabream) is the source of this 2083-nucleotide long non-coding RNA. The record is from Ensembl. NCBI's taxonomy places the organism in Eukaryota, Metazoa, Chordata, Actinopteri, Spariformes, Sparidae.